GUGCUCGCUUCAGCACAUACAGUAAAAUUGGAAUGAUACAAAGAUUAACAUGGACCCUGUGCAAGGAUGGCAUACAAAUUCACGAAGAAAAGGUGAUAUAAAAUUUGU
Nyctereutes procyonoides (raccoon dog) is the source of this 108-nucleotide small nuclear RNA. NCBI's taxonomy places the organism in Eukaryota, Metazoa, Chordata, Mammalia, Carnivora, Canidae. The record is from RefSeq and is a predicted model, not a curated record.